AUUUAAAUAAUUUAAAAAAAAUAUUGAUUUGUGGAGUCAAAAAUAUGAAAGAAGUUAAUCAUUUUAAAUU
Molecule: transfer RNA, 70 nt
Filed under: Luehdorfia puziloi
Lineage: Eukaryota; Metazoa; Arthropoda; Insecta; Lepidoptera; Papilionidae
Description: tRNA-His
Source: RNAcentral